RNAcentral lists this ribosomal RNA (486 nucleotides) under uncultured bacterium. RNAcentral's name for it is "bacterial SSU rRNA". It matches the Rfam family "Bacterial small subunit ribosomal RNA", at positions 28 to 505 of the family's 1533-position model. The record is from RNAcentral.
GAUGAACGCUAGCUACAGGCUUAACACAUGCAAGUCGAGGGGCAGCAUGAACAUAGCUUGCUAUGUUUGAUGGCGACCGGCGCACGGGUGCGUAACACGUAUCCAAUCUACCCAUGGCUCGGGGAUAGCCUUUCGAAAGAAAGAUUAAUACCCGAUGGUCUCGGUUUAAGGCAUCUUAGACUGAGUAAAGAUUUAUCGGCGAUGGAUGAGGAUGCGUCUGAUUAGGUAGAUGGCGGGGUAAUGGCCCACCAUGCCUACGAUCAGUAGGGGUUCUGAGAGGAAGGUCCCCCACACUGGAACUGAGACACGGUCCAGACUCCUACGGGAGGCAGCAGUGAGGAAUAUUGGUCAAUGGGCGAGAGCCUGAACCAGCCAAGUAGCGUGAAGGAAGACUGCCCUAUGGGUUGUAAACUUCUUUGUUCGGGAAUAAAGUGCAGUAUGUAUACUGUUUGUAUGUACCGUUCGAAUAAGCAUCGGCUAAUUCCG